CUGGGCUAGAAUGCCUCUGACAACCCUAGAGAUAGGGCUUCCUAGGGAAACCUAGGCAGAGUGCAAGGUGCUGCAUGGCUGUCGUCAGCUCGUGUCGUGAGAUGUUGGGUUAAGUCCCGCAACGAGCGCAACCCUUAUCGAUAGUUGCUAGCGGUUCGGCCGAGCACUCUAUUGAGACUGCCGUUGACAAAACGGAGGAAGGUGGGGAUGACGUCAAGUCCUCAUGGCCUUUAUGUCCAGGGCUACACACGUGCUACAAUGGCAAGUACAAAGCGCUGCAAACCCGCGAGGGGGAGCCAAUCCCAAAAAGCCGUUCUCAGUUCGGAUUGGGGUCUGCAACUCGACUCCAUGAAGUUGGAAUCGCUAGUAAUCGCGGAUCAGCACGCCGCGGUGAAUACGUUCCC
Molecule: ribosomal RNA, 404 nt
Filed under: uncultured bacterium
Lineage: Bacteria
Description: bacterial SSU rRNA
Rfam family: Bacterial small subunit ribosomal RNA
Source: RNAcentral